RNAcentral lists this small RNA (2172 nucleotides) under Oryza sativa Japonica Group (Japanese rice). RNAcentral's name for it is "sRNA Os06g0687050". Lineage: Eukaryota; Viridiplantae; Streptophyta; Magnoliopsida; Poales; Poaceae. The record is from RNAcentral.
GCAACCUCAGGCCUUCCUCAGAGCUCUGACUCGAGCAGCAAGCUCAUCAAAGUCAGGCAUUUUCGGGUGCACAUGUACAGUUUUGGGACAGUCCGGCUGCAGUGAGGUAGACCGGGCAGGAAACUUCACAUCUUCAUCGCGGCAGACGGAUUCCCCUGGCAGUGAGAUUGCUCUUCCUGGAGGAUGCAUGGAGCCCUUUUGCUCAGAUUGUUCUUCUGCUUUGUUGGUUGGAGCUGGAUUGAUUUCCGCAUCUAAACCUUUCUUGCUGUAGUGCCUCAGAAGCUUAUCCAUCAUUCUCUCCUCCUCAUCAACUCCACUGCGCGCAUCAGUAUUGCGGCUUUUGUGUCUCCUAUGGCCAUUUCCAGUUCUGGGUAAAAGAUUACCAAAGUCAAUUGCAGCCUCAUCCUCUUCUGAUUUAUGGCGCUGCAUGAAUCCAUCGUAGUCCUCGACCCAUCUCUCCGGGCACUGCCAUCAUUAACAGCAUUCUGCCUGCUUGUGUGUCUUCUGUGACUACUGGGUGUUCGGCUUGAAACCUUUUCAUUGGCAGGCGCCUCAUCAUAGACAGCAGCAGGUGCAGGUGGCUUGGCAUAUUUACUUCUAACAGAAACAGGUCGAAGAGGAUCUUUGUCAGACAGGUGAUCUGUUUGUUCAGGGAUAGCACGUUUGCUGUAGUCACUAGCAGCUCGCUCUGCAGGAUCAUCAUUCACUGUUUCCAUGUUGAGUUUUGGUUUGAUGUAAGGAGGUCGCACAUAAGCUGCCCUCUCUGGCACUGGCUGUCUAUCUUGCACUGGAUUCCCCUUAUCUGCUAAAUGAUGUGGUCUAGCAUUCAAGCAACCAGUGUUCUCUUCCUUUUCAGAACAUUUCUUGCCGGUAGAUCCAUCCAGCUUAGAAUAAGGAGGCAUCCUGUUUUUAGUGUUACCAUUCAAAGGAUUCACUGAUUGAAGCCCCUGCUUAUCUAGGCCAAGGGUUCUGAGACCUGAAUCUGCAUGAUCAGCAGCACAAGGAAUAUGUGAUCUGUGGUGGUGACCAAGGUUGCUCUCGUUCUCCUUCUCAAGAUCAUUGUCUUUCUUAGGCUUGACAUUUAGUGCAAAUGUCUUCUUGCUUUCUGCUUCAGGAACUUUCAAUGAACCAAAUUCCUUCUUAGGCAGGCCAUUGAGGUCUAGCUCCACCGCUUCCAUUAGUUCCUUUUCGCAAGGGCGAACAUCUUUUUUGUUAGCUUUCUGAACUUCUUUUUGAAUGUUCCUUCUUUUCAUCUCUGAAUCGGACACUGGUUUCUCCACAUGCCCCUUACCAUCAGAUUUAUCCGCAUGCUGUCUCCUGGUGUUUUCACGUAACCGGUCAAUGCCAUCAGCAACAGGAUGAACAUCCUUUUGUUGUUUUAAGGACGCUUCCAAUUUAUUCUUGUGGCCAAGAGUAGCAGCUUCAGAUUUUCUUCCUGAUGGAGCAGCAUCAUCCCCCUUCUUGCUGGACAAAGGCACUGCCAGUUCUACCUGUUUCUUUGAUUUGUGUAAGCAUAUAGUACAUGUUUGGUUUCUGGAGUGGCCCAUAGUUUGAUCUUAAAUGCUUUGAUAUCAAAAUCAACCAAUAGUUCUUCAGACACACUUUGCAUGGCUUGUAUCUUUUCCUCAUUAGUGAACACUUUAUUGUCCAGCUUCUGAACAAACUGCAAGCUAACAAAAGGCUCAAGAAAAUGUCCAUAUCUCUCUGUGAAAAUAUGCCUAAGGUCACACAGUUCUGGCAAAUCUGGAAACCGAGCAGCAGCAAAAAUUAGAGUCGACACAGCUUCCCGAGUUUCCUGGGGGCAAUCCCUUUACCCCUGUUUCUGUAGGCUGUUGAGCUGUUUACCAAUGUACUCACAGAACUGCUCGAUCAUAUCAUAGCAAGAAGCAUGGUUCAUCUCAAUUAUCAGCCCAUCCAUCCGUCCAAAUGCAUGUGUGUCGAGGCCAUUGGUGAGGAGGUCGGCUAUGUCCUUCUUCAUGAAUCGAAUCAUCGCCUGCUUCUUCCGCCGUAUGAGAGCCAGCCGCGUACGAAUGCAUUUGAAUGCCAAUUUCUCACCAUUUGUUGUAGAACUUGGAGUUGAGCAGGCUGCCAAACAUCUUCCCCCACUCCUCCCCUCCUCCCAGCUUCUUCUUCUUCUUCUUCUUCUUCUUCUCCCUUCCGCCUCGCUUCACC